Long non-coding RNA from Bos taurus (domestic cattle), 2039 nucleotides. The record is from Ensembl. Lineage: Eukaryota; Metazoa; Chordata; Mammalia; Artiodactyla; Bovidae.
GUGGGGGCGAGUGAAAGUGGUUUUGGGGGCAGUUCGUGCGAGUCGGCCCCCCACGUUGAGAAUGCCCUGAAGUUUGUCUCCUGGUCAAGUUCAAUAGCGACUGUCUGGCUAUGUCUGGAAGCCCAGUGAUUUGCAUUGCUUGAAACUGGGUGUUCGGCUAAGUCCCCUCGGCACCCCCACCUCACCCUCCCGACCGUGGGAGAAAGGGUGCGGGCGUUCGCAUCUUUGCCUCGGAAAGGUUUCUUACAGGAGGUGGAUUUAGGGGGCAACUCGCGUCUAGUUGUGAACGAGCGUUUAGGGAAUCCGAAACUCGGGGAACCCUGGUGAUAGUCUACUCCCCGCCCCCGCACAACAUGCAUAGACACACUGCACAUCACAUGUACACACAAACACACACACGCACACGCCACUCCUCCCGCCCCGAUUUGCUUCCGGGAAAACAAGUCCGAGAGCAGCAGACACUUGCCAAAAGUCACGCAGCGAGCAACUUCCCCUGCCUACCAGAGUACGGAAUCCUGCUCAAAGCGUGGUGUGAGGAGUCGUGAAACCGCAUAGGAACAAUGCCUAGCACAUGAAUUCCUAUCAGAACCGCUUUUACUGCCUCCCCCGGCGACGUUCCCGGCCCGCCAACGUUUCUUUCGUCCUUACAAGGCCAGCUUCCACCCGCUGCUUUUGUGUAAAUAAAGCCUGGCCUUCUGCCUGCAGGUUGCCGCCAGAAGCCGGCCGGUGGGGGAAGGGUUCGGAACCGGUACGACCGCCUCAGCCGCGCCGGGAGAGGCCGAGAGUCCGCCACGCUCAGCCGUCGCGCGGGGGCGGUACUCCGGGCCCCCCAGGAUGAGCCGAGCCGAGAAACCCAGCACGAGAAAGUCCCCACCCACCUGCACCCUCUUCCGUGGGUCACCCCGCGCGUGGCAGGCCCUUGACAAAUAUCGUCCUGAAUUCUCCCCGCGAUCCUGGGAGUAUCCUCCCCAUUUUAUAGACGAGAGACUGAGGCUUACCAAGUGUAAGGGGCUUGACCGAGGUCCCAUAGGCGAAAAAAGUGGCAAACCAAGAACUUCUAACCGAAUAUAUCUGGCUGCAAAAUCCAGUCUUCUCCCAUCCCGCCGGUCACCAGUGAGACUGUAAAGGUCUUAAAGGAGAAGAAUAAAAAAAAAAAUAACCACACGAAUCAGAUUAACAGAUCGUAAGGAAUUGAAAGGGCCUUCCAGAGCUGCUGGUAUUUCAAACAAGUGGACUCGAACCACAGGAUAAGUAACAAACUACUUUUCCUGGGUGACCAAUCAUACUUUUUUUUUAAUUAAAAAUAUAUUUAUUAAAAUAGAUUACGAUGGAGAAGAAUAUAAUUUUCAAAAUAAUGAUAGCUGAAAACAGAAGACUUAAAAGAAAUGUCAGGCUGUUUCCACCUCGCACACCUUUCGUUCGAUUGCACACACAUUCUUGACAUCAAGUACAUAAACAGGCAAACUGAGGCCCGAAACCAGUCCCACUGAGAGCGAGAGGCCGAGUGGGAGGAGAACCGAGAUUUCCGGGCUCUCGGCCUGGGGUGCUUUCGGCUGGGGGCGGGGGUCCUGUUUGUAAACAGGUGUCCUCGGACAGCCACUGCCGAUUUUUGUCACUCUGCCAACCGGAGGGACGAUUCUGAGUAAUCGCUAGCAGUCAGCGCAGCUGGGGCUAAAAGCGAAAGGGACGCGCGCGCGACGGGCCCGGGAGGGCGACGGGUAAAGCGCGCAGGCGGGGCCGCCGCCGGGUUCCCGCGGGGCGACCGUGCGGUAGGCCUCCUCCCGGACCGCUCUCGACGGCCCCGCCCCGCGCAGGCGGCGGGCGCUGCAGGCCCCGCCCCUGCUCCCAGCCCAGGGGACCCAUCCCGGACCUGAGAAUCCCGGUCCCAAACCCCUCCUCCCAAAAGGGGCUAAAAGGUGCAGGGGGCUUUUGACCAGCCCGUCCAGCUUCAGGUCCUGGGACCGGCGGCCCUGUCCUUGCGCGUGGGAACAGUCAGGUACUUAGGCUUGACCUUAAAUCCGCCCCUGGUAUUUGCUAAC